Molecule: ribosomal RNA, 309 nt
Filed under: uncultured bacterium
Lineage: Bacteria
Description: partial 16S ribosomal RNA
Rfam family: Bacterial small subunit ribosomal RNA
Source: RNAcentral
AGAGACAGCAGUCGCCGCGGUAAGACAGAGGAUGCAAGCGUUAUCCGGAAUGAUUGGGCGUAAAGCGUGCGCAGGCGGUUUAGUAAGUCUGAAGUUAAAGGCAUUGGCUCAACCAAUGUAUGCUUUGGAAACUGUUAGACUUGAGUGCAGAAGGGGAGAGUGGAAUUCCAUGUGUAGCGGUGAAAUGCGUAGAUAUAUGGAGGAACACCGGUGGCGAAAGCGGCUCUCUGGUCUGUCACUGACGCUGAGGCUCGAAAGCGUGGGUAGCGAACAGGAUUAGAUACCCCCGUAGUCCCUGUCUCUUAUACA